CGAGCACGCGCGUGUGGCAUAUCAAUAAGCGGAGGAAAAGAAACUAACAAGGAUUCCCCUAGUAACGGCGAGUGAAGCGGGAAGAGCUCAAAUUUGAAAUCUUCAAGGUUCUACCUUGACGAAUUGUAGUUUAAGGAAGUGUUUUCUGUCGUAGUUUUGGUAAAAGUUCUUUGGAAUAGGACAUCAUAGAGGGUGAGAAUCCCGUAUUUGACCAUUAUUUCCAACUUUGUGAUACACUUUCAAAGAGUCGGAUUGUUUGGGAAUGCAGUCCAAAAUGGGUGGUAAAUUUCAUCUAAAGCUAAAUAUUGGCGAGAGACCGAUAGCGAACAAGUACCGUGAGGGAAAGAUGAAAAGAACUUCGAAAAGAGAGUUAAACAGUACGUGAAAUUGUCAAAAGGGAAGCGUUUGACACCAGUGUUGUUUUUCCGAAAAUCAAUUACGAAUGUUUUGUUUUUGAGGAGUUAUGACUUCAUCGGCUUGCUCCUUUUCUUUAUGAAACUUUCUUAAUGCACUUUUCGGUUAACAAGUCAACAUCAAUUUCCUUUGUUGUAAAAGGGUAUGAGGAAGGUGGCUUUCUUUUCGGAGAAAGUGUUUAUAGCCUUGUGCCUCUGCAAUCGGAGAGAUUGAGGUCUGCAGCGUAGAUCCUUCGGGGUUAGAUACAUUUGUGCUAAGUUAUAGCUUUUCAUAGACAACUUGUUGACUAUGUUAGUCUUGUAGCUUACUCGCUGAUGCUAUUUUACCUACGCUUAGGAUGUUGAGCGCAUGUCUCUCUCU
This 774-nucleotide ribosomal RNA is filed under the name uncultured Neocallimastigales. RNAcentral's name for it is "partial large subunit ribosomal RNA". It matches the Rfam family "Eukaryotic large subunit ribosomal RNA", at positions 19 to 616 of the family's 3401-position model. Lineage: Eukaryota; Fungi; Neocallimastigomycota; Neocallimastigomycetes; Neocallimastigales. The record is from RNAcentral.